AUUGAACGCUGGCGGCAUGCCUUACACAUGCAAGUCGAACGGCAGCACGGGAGCUUGCUCCUGGUGGCGAGUAGCGAACGGGUGAGUAAUACAUCGGAACGUACCCAGUAGUGGGGGAUAACGCACCGAAAGGUGCGCUAAUACCGCAUACGACCUAAGGGUGAAAGCGGGGGACCGUAAGGCCUCGCGCUAUUGGAGCGGCCGGUGUCUGAUUAGCUAGUUGGCGGGGUAAAGGCCCACCAAGGCGACGAUCAGUAGCUGGUCUGAGAGGACGAUCAGCCACACUGGGACUGAGACACGGCCCAGACUCCUACGGGAGGCAGCAGUGGGGAAUUUUGGACAAUGGGGGCAACCCUGAUCCAGCAAUGCCGCGUGUGCGAAGAAGGCCUUCGGGUUGUAAAGCACUUUUGUCAGGGAAGAAAUCUUUUGGGCUAAUACCCCGGAAGGAUGACGGUACCUGAAGAAUAAGCACCGGCUAACUACGUGCCAGCAGCCGCGGUAA
Molecule: ribosomal RNA, 502 nt
Filed under: uncultured bacterium
Lineage: Bacteria
Description: partial 16S ribosomal RNA
Rfam family: Bacterial small subunit ribosomal RNA
Source: RNAcentral